Molecule: ribosomal RNA, 1210 nt
Filed under: metagenome
Description: bacterial SSU rRNA
Rfam family: Bacterial small subunit ribosomal RNA
Source: RNAcentral
UCCCGGGCCUUUGGGUUUGGGAAUCAAAGCUGGGGACCAUAAGGCCUAGCGCUCGAGGAGGAGCCCGCGUCCGAUUAGCUUGUUGGUGGGGUAAUGGCUCACCAAGGCUCCGAUCGGUAGCCGGCCUGAGAGGGCGGACGGCCACACUGGGACUGAGACACGGCCCAGACUCCUACGGGAGGCAGCAGUGGGGAAUUUUGCGCAAUGGGGGAAACCCUGACGCAGCAACGCCGCGUGGAGGAUGAAGGCCUUCGGGUCGUAAGCUCCUGUCAAUCGGGACGAAAGUGCUCCGGCCUAACAGGUCGGGACGUUGACUGUACCGGUGGAGGAAGCUCCGGCUAACUCUGUGCCAGCAGCCGCGGUAAUACAGAGGGAGCAAGCGUUGUUCGGAAUUACUGGGCGUAAAGGGCGCGUAGGCGGCUUGGUCAGUCUCGUGUGAAAUCCCUCGGCUCAACUGAGGAAUUGCACGGGAAACUGCCAUGCUUGAGUUCGGGAGAGGGAAGCGGAAUUCCGGGUGUAGCGGUGAAAUGCGCAGAUAUCCGGAGGAACACCAGUGGCGAAGGCGGCUUCCUGGACCGUGACUGACGCUGAGGCGCGAAAGCUAGGGGAGCAAACGGGAUUAGAUACCCCGGUAGUCCUAGCUGUAAACGUUGAGUGCUGGGUGUAGGGGGUAUUGACCCCCCCUGUGCCGAAGCUAACGCAUUAAGCACUCCGCCUGGGGAGUACGGUCGCAAGGCUGAAACUCUAAGGAAUUGACGGGGGCCCGCACAAGCGGUGGAGCAUGUGGUUCAAUUCGACGCAACGCGAAGAACCUUACCGGGGUUUGAACUGUACGGGACAGCUGCAGAGAGGCAGUUUUCCUUCGGGACCCGUAUAGAGGUGCUGCAUGGCUGUCGUCAGCUCGUGUCGUGAGAUGUUGGGUUAAGUCCCGCAACGAGCGCAACCCUUGCCUCCUGUUGCCAGCAGGUAAAGCUGGGCACUCUGGAGAGACUGCCGGUGAUAAACCGGAGGAAGGUGGGGAUGACGUCAAGUCCUCAUGGCCUUUAUGCCCCGGGCUACACACGUGCUACAAUGGCUGGAACAAAGGGUUGCAAAACCGCGAGGUGGAGCUAAUCCCAAAAAACCAGUCUCAGUUCGGAUUGGAGUCUGCAACUCGACUCCAUGAAGCUGGAAUCGCUAGUAAUCGCGGAUCAGCAUGCCGCACGUUCCC